This 328-nucleotide unclassified non-coding RNA is filed under the name soil metagenome. RNAcentral describes it as "partial contains 5.8S ribosomal RNA, internal transcribed spacer 2, and large subunit ribosomal RNA". The stretch from base 1 to 120 matches the Rfam family "5.8S ribosomal RNA", at positions 35 to 154 of the family's 154-position model. The record is from RNAcentral.
GAUGAAGAACGCAGCGAAAUGCGAUAAGUAGUGUGAAUUGCAGACUUUAGUGAAUCAUCGAAUCUUUGAACGCACAUUGCGCCCCUUGGUAUUCCAUUGGGCAUGCCUGUUCGAGCGUCAUUAUAACCCCUCAAGCUCAGCUUGGUGUUGGGGCCUGCCGCACGGGCAGCCCUUAAAAUCAGUGGCGGUGCCAUCUGGCUCUAAGCGUAGUAAUUCUUCUCGCUAUAGAGUCCCGGUGGAUGCUUGCCAUUAACCCCCAAUUUUCUAUGGUUGACCUCGGAUCAGGUAGGGAUACCCGCUGAACUUAAGCAUAUCAAUAAGCGGAGGA